CACCACUCAAGCACGGCUUGGUGUUGGGCGGCGUCCCCUCCUUGGGGACGCGCUUCGAAACGCUCGGCGGCGUGGCACCGGCUUUAAGCGUAGCAGAAUCUUUCGCUUUGGAAGUCGGGGCCCCGUCCGCCGGAAGACCUACCUUCAA
This 148-nucleotide unclassified non-coding RNA is filed under the name uncultured Cenococcum. RNAcentral describes it as "sequence contains ITS2". Lineage: Eukaryota; Fungi; Ascomycota; Dothideomycetes; Gloniales; Gloniaceae. The record is from RNAcentral.